CCCUUCCCAUCCCGAACAGGACCGUGAAACAACUUUGCGCCGAUGAUAGUGCUGCAACCAGUGUGAAAGUAGGUUAUCGUCAGGC
This 85-nucleotide ribosomal RNA is filed under the name Janthinobacterium sp. YR213. The record is from RNAcentral. Lineage: Bacteria; Pseudomonadati; Pseudomonadota; Betaproteobacteria; Burkholderiales; Oxalobacteraceae.